UUCUCCUCAGGGCCUCAGUCCCUGUGACUCGGUGACCACAUUUGCUCUGCACCCUGCAAAGCCAGCACCCAAUACUCAGCGUCUGGCAUGUGAAAGGGGCUUGAGAAAGAAACAGAAACUGUCUGAGAGCUGCGGAACUGGUCCUGUAAUGGGUGGGAACACUUGGCAGCUUGUUCUACUGGAUGCUCCACCAACCAGCGCUGGGCUUACCUGCUGAGCACCUGGGAGCGGUCACAGCAUGGUAAUCGGAGGUUGAGAAACCUUAGGCCUUUUGAUAGUCCAAGGGUGUUAGAAUUAGCUCAACCCAGAGCCACCCCCACUUCAACUCGGCAGAGUUAGAAUUGCUGUCAUCAGAAUCAGCCAGCUAUGGGCUCUCCUGGGGGUUGGAGGAUGGCUCUGUCCCUGGGAGAACCACCCCAAAAACCUCCUGCUAACUCUGAGAAAACCUAAAGCAGACUCUCAGCUCUGGUAUAGGAUGGGCUUUGUUAUAUGGAGUGUCGCUUUCUACCAGCCCUCCCCACGCCUACCUUGCCGAAACUGCCAUUUCCUGGAUGUUAAACAGAGAGCGAUGUUCUCAGUGGCACAGCCACACUCAUGUUCUUUGCUACAACCGAGCAGGGCCGUCCCAUUGGCUCUCUUGAGGGGGUGGGUUUUAGAGGUCCUGCCAGCCGUUUCUCAUAUUUCAAAGAGUCUGCCUCAAAAUGGGAUUUGCAUCCCAACCAAAAUGCCAAGGACCUCAAACAAAAAAGCAAAACCAACCCUAUAUUUGAUGCUAGUUUUGACUUCUCUUUUUCUUAGCUUGUAUACUCUGUUGCAGAUGAUAUUUAGGAUUCGUCUUUGAGACAAAUAAAUGAUUGAUACACCUAA
Herpailurus yagouaroundi (jaguarundi) is the source of this 867-nucleotide long non-coding RNA. RefSeq lists it as uncharacterized. The record is from RefSeq and is a predicted model, not a curated record. The transcript has 2 exons. NCBI's taxonomy places the organism in Eukaryota, Metazoa, Chordata, Mammalia, Carnivora, Felidae.